AUGGGCCGCAACUCAGCGGAGCACCGCCGUCAGUGCCAUCCGCGGCUGCAUGCCCCCGAGGAUACGGCCUCGCUGCCGAUCCCCGACGAGCUCCUCGCUGAAAUCUUCGUUCGCCUGCCCACCCCAGCCGACCUCGUCCGCGCCUCCGCCGCCUGCGUCUCCUUCCGCCGCGUCGUGGCCGACCGCUACUUCCUCAGGCAGUUCCGCAAGCUCCACGCCCCGCCCCUCCUCGGCUUCCUCGGUCCGCACACCGGCUUCGACCCCGCCGAGCCGCCUCACCCCUCCGCGUCUGCGGCCAGCGCCAUCGCCCUCGCCGCCGACUUCUCCUUCUCGUUCCUUCCGGCCCCCGACCCCGCUCACCACUGGGUUGUCUGGGACGUCCGCGACGGCCGGGUACUCCUCCGCGGAAUGCCCCUGGAACAGAGACGGUGGUGUGCGACCCUUUGCACCGGAGGCGGCGAUGAGGACGAUGAGCCAACAACAACCGCUGAAGAGACGGCAUUCAGGGUGAUCUGGAUGGGGCACUGUGAAGAUAAGCUCAUCACCUAUGUCUUUUCUUCCAGCACCAGACAAUGGCAAGCCAUUCGAUCCCUUACCUGGACCGAUUUGUCAGCUGGCUCGCUAUCAUCGACAGAGACGGCACCCUUCUGCCGGCGCCAAUACGCGUAUGGCUGCUUUUACUGGCUGCCAAAUUCCAAGCACACAAUAAAAAUGUUGGUGCUCAACACCCGUAAGAUGGAGUUCUCCGUUGCUGAACCCCCAACCGAACCCAAAGUUUGUUACAGACAUAUAACCAUGGUGGAGGCAGGAGAAGGCAGGCCUGGGCUGGUUGUCCUUACAUACGGCCCACGUGGCCACAUUUAUACCAUUUGGAGAAACAAUAAUGGGAGUUCCCGCCAAUGGCAAAAGGAUAAGGUAAUCCCACCCUCACCGGGAUCUGGGUACGUGCUCAGACAGUCGAUGGGGACACAUUUGCUUUUGAAUCACUGGGGAUGCUCAUCCUUCGACGAAGAGUUAUGCACGGACUUGCGCACGUUGGACAUGAAGACGUUACAGAUUGAGAGAGUGUGUGCUUCCACAGUGCAAAGCUUCGCAUAUAGCAACCAUCCACCAUCGUUGUCGUCACUGACAAUAUCAAAUGAUCUGAACUUUUGGUGUGCAUAA
This 1164-nucleotide ribosomal RNA is filed under the name Triticum aestivum (bread wheat). RNAcentral describes it as "partial small subunit ribosomal RNA". The record is from RNAcentral. Lineage: Eukaryota; Viridiplantae; Streptophyta; Magnoliopsida; Poales; Poaceae.